CCUACGGGUGGCAGCAGUGGGGAAUAUUGGACAAUGGGCGAAAGCCUGAUCCAGCCAUGCCGCGUGUGUGAAGAAGGCCUUCGGGUUGUAAAGCACUUUCAGUGGGGAAGAAAGCCUUGGGGCUAAUACCCUCGAGGAAGGACAUCACCCACAGAAGAAGCACCGGCUAACUCCGUGCCAGCAGCCGCGGUAAUACGGAGGGUGCGAGCGUUAAUCGGAAUUACUGGGCGUAAAGCGCGCGUAGGCGGUCUGAUAAGCCGGUUGUGAAAGCCCCGGGCUCAACCUGGGAACGGCAUCCGGAACUGUCAGGCUAGAGUGCAGGAGAGGAAGGUAGAAUUCCCGGUGUAGCGGUGAAAUGCGUAGAGAUCGGGAGGAAUACCAGUGGCGAAGGCGGCCUUCUGGACUGACACUGACGCUGAGGUGCGAAAGCGUGGGUAGCAAACAGGAUUAGUACCCUAGUAGUC
This 464-nucleotide ribosomal RNA is filed under the name Vreelandella stevensii. RNAcentral's name for it is "partial 16S ribosomal RNA". It matches the Rfam family "Bacterial small subunit ribosomal RNA", at positions 338 to 795 of the family's 1533-position model. Lineage: Bacteria; Pseudomonadati; Pseudomonadota; Gammaproteobacteria; Oceanospirillales; Halomonadaceae. The record is from RNAcentral.